AGCGGCAGCACGGGUACUUGUACCUGGUGGCGAGCGGCGGACGGGUGAGUAAUGCCUAGGAAUCUGCCUGGUAGUGGGGGAUAACGCUCGGAAACGGACGCUAAUACCGCAUACGUCCUACGGGAGAAAGCAGGGGACCUUCGGGCCUUGCGCUAUCAGAUGAGCCUAGGUCGGAUUAGCUAGUUGGUGAGGUAAUGGCUCACCAAGGCGACGAUCCGUAACUGGUCUGAGAGGAUGAUCAGUCACACUGGAACUGAGACACGGUCCAGACUCCUACGGGAGGCAGCAGUGGGGAAUAUUGGACAAUGGGCGAAAGCCUGAUCCAGCCAUGCCGCGUGUGUGAAGAAGGUCUUCGGAUUGUAAAGCACUUUAAGUUGGGAGGAAGGGCAGUUACCUAAUACGUGAUUGUUUUGACGUUACCGACAGAAUAAGCACCGGCUAACUCUGUGCCAGCAGCCGCGGUAAUACAGAGGGUGCAAGCGUUAAUCGGAAUUACUGGGCGUAAAGCGCGCGUAGGU
RNAcentral lists this ribosomal RNA (518 nucleotides) under Pseudomonas sp. RNAcentral describes it as "bacterial SSU rRNA". It matches the Rfam family "Bacterial small subunit ribosomal RNA", at positions 65 to 576 of the family's 1533-position model. Lineage: Bacteria; Pseudomonadati; Pseudomonadota; Gammaproteobacteria; Pseudomonadales; Pseudomonadaceae. The record is from RNAcentral.